GUGGGGAAUAUUGGGCAAUGGGGGAAACCCUGACCCAGCAACGCCGCGUGAAGGAAGAAGGUUUUCGGAUCGUAAACUUCUAUCCUUGGUGAAGAUAAUGACGGUAGCCAAGAAGGAAGCCCCGGCUAACUACGUGCCAGCAGCCGCGGUAAUACGUAGGGGGCAAGCGUUGUCCGGAAUGAUUGGGCGUAAAGGGCGCGUAGGCGGCCUGGUAAGUCUGGAGUGAAAGUCCUGCUUUUAAGGUGGGAAUUGCUUUGGAUACUGUCGGGCUUGAGUGCAGGAGAGGUAAGCGGAAUUCCCGGUGUAGCGGUGAAAUGCGUAGAGAUCGGGAGGAACACCAGUGGCGAAGGCGGAUUACUGGACGAUAACUGACGCUGAGGCGCGAAAGCGUGGGGAGCAAACAGGAUUAGAAACCCCGGUAGUCC
RNAcentral lists this ribosomal RNA (425 nucleotides) under uncultured bacterium. Its description in RNAcentral is "partial 16S ribosomal RNA". It matches the Rfam family "Bacterial small subunit ribosomal RNA", at positions 354 to 796 of the family's 1533-position model. The record is from RNAcentral.